RNAcentral lists this ribosomal RNA (497 nucleotides) under uncultured bacterium. RNAcentral describes it as "partial 16S ribosomal RNA". It matches the Rfam family "Bacterial small subunit ribosomal RNA", at positions 28 to 507 of the family's 1533-position model. The record is from RNAcentral.
GAUGAACGCUGGCGGCGUGCCCAAUACAUGCAAGUCGAGCGAACAGACGAGGAGCUUGCUCCUCUGACGUUAGCGGCGGACGGGUGAGUAACACGUGGAUAACCUACCUAUAAGACUGGGAUAACUUCGGGAAACCGGAGCUAAUACCGGAUAAUAUAUUGAACCGCAUGGUUCAAUAGUGAAAGACGGUUUUGCUGUCACUUAUAGAUGGAUCCGCGCCGCAUUAGCUAGUUGGUAAGGUAACGGCUUACCAAGGCAACGAUGCGUAGCCGACCUGAGAGGGUGAUCGGCCACACUGGAACUGAGACACGGUCCAGACUCCUACGGGAGGCAGCAGUAGGGAAUCUUCCGCAAUGGGCGAAAGCCUGACGGAGCAACGCCGCGUGAGUGAUGAAGGUCUUCGGAUUGUAAAACUCUGUUAUUAGGGAAGAACAAAUGUGUAAGUAACUAUGCACGUCUUGACGGUACCUAAUCAGAAAGCCACGGCUAACUACGUG